RNAcentral lists this ribosomal RNA (253 nucleotides) under uncultured bacterium. RNAcentral's name for it is "partial 16S ribosomal RNA". It matches the Rfam family "Bacterial small subunit ribosomal RNA", at positions 524 to 776 of the family's 1533-position model. The record is from RNAcentral.
GACGAACCGUGCGAACGUUGUUCGGAAUCACUGGGCUUAAAGGGCGCGUAGGCGGGUCGGCAAGUCCGGGGUGAAAGCCCCCAGCUCAACUGGGGAAGUGCCUUGGAAACUGCCGGUCUGGAGGGAGGUAGGGGCCUGUGGAACUUCGGGUGGAGCGGUGAAAUGCGUUGAUAUCCGAAGGAACGCCGGUGGCGAAAGCGACAGGCUGGACCUCUACUGACGCUGAGAAGCGAAAGCAUGGGGAGCGAACAGG